CCUACGGGAGGCAGCAGUGAGGAAUAUUGGUCAAUGGCCGGAAGGCUGAACCAGCCAAGCCGCGUGAAGGACGAAGGUGCCAAGCAUUGUAAACUUCUUUUGUCAAGGGACAAAAUCAGGCUCGAGAGCCUGACCGAGGGUACUUGAAGAAAAAGCAUCGGCUAACUCCGUGCCAGCAGCCGCGGUAAUACGGAGGAUGAGAGCGUUAUCCGGUUGUAUUGGGGUAAAAGGGUGCGUAGGCGGGCUGUAAGGUCAGCGGUAAGAGCCCGGGGCUCAACCCCGGCGAGCCGUUGAAACUGGCUGUCUUGAGAUGUCGAGAGGUAUGCGGAAUGCGCAGUGUAGCGGUGAAAUGCUUAGAUAUUGCGCAGAACUCCGAUUGCGAAGGCAGCAUACCGGCGGCGAUCUGACGCUGAGGCACGAAAGCGUGGGUAUCGAACAGGAUUAGAUACCCGAGUAGUC
RNAcentral lists this ribosomal RNA (459 nucleotides) under uncultured bacterium. Its description in RNAcentral is "partial 16S ribosomal RNA". It matches the Rfam family "Bacterial small subunit ribosomal RNA", at positions 338 to 795 of the family's 1533-position model. The record is from RNAcentral.